This 403-nucleotide ribosomal RNA is filed under the name uncultured bacterium. RNAcentral describes it as "partial 16S ribosomal RNA". It matches the Rfam family "Bacterial small subunit ribosomal RNA", at positions 28 to 526 of the family's 1533-position model. The record is from RNAcentral.
GACGAACGCUGGCGGCGUGCCUAAUACAUGCAAGUCGAACGCAGUGGGGAUGGGUGAGUAACACGUGGGUAACCUCCCAUCAGAGGGGAUAACACUUGGACACAGGUGCUAAACCGAUACUGAUGGAUGGACCCGCGGUGCAUUAGCUAGUUGGUGGGGUAACGGCUCACCAAGGCCAAGAUGCAUAGCGGACCGGGGAGGGUGAUCGGCCACACUGGGACGGAGACACGGCCCAGACUCCUACGGGAGGCAGCAGUAGGGAACCUUCGGCAAUGGACGAAAGCCUGACCGAGAAACGCCGCGUGAGUGAAGAAGGUUUUCGGAUCGUAAACCUCUGUUGUUAGAGAAGCGGUAUCUAACCAGAAAGCCACGGCUAACUACGUGCCAGCAGCCGCGGUAAUAC